GUUAAAGGCUAUGUUAUUUUGUGUACGAUAGCCCUUAAUUGAAUUUGCUGACACUAGCGUUCGCUCAUUAAAAAAUCAUUAAAUAUUAAAACAAAGAUAGAAUGACGCGCGCUUCUCGAAGCAGCCACUGAAAUAUUUUAUUUCCUAGCAACCAAUUUGUAAUAAAAAAACAAAAUAAGUAUUGCAUGUUAUUAACAAUAUAAAAUUGAUUAGAAUUAAUAAAGAGUUUAAGGCAGAUUGAUUAGAAUUGUUAUAAUAAAUGUACAUUAGGAAUUUCAAAUAUGUUUAUGAAUAACGUGUGGAAGAUUCAACGUGGUUACGAUGUAUUGUCACGGAGAUCAUUCAGUAUAAAUCGUCGACUUCUAAUAAAUGAUAUAAAGUUUCAAAAAUUCAAAUUGAAGCAAGCAAAAAUGCAGUGCGACGACGGACUUCCUGUCUAUCUAAAAGGGACACGAGAUAGACUAUUAUUUAGGAUUACAAUAGCAUGGUUUUUAUGUAACACACUGAUGUCAGUUUAUACUAUCACAAAGAUGUGGUAACUAUUUUAAUCUCAAUGAAAUAAUAUUCCAGUAAUCACACCCAUGAUCUGAAAUACAUGAAUGAGUAAUUAGAAGUUGCAAAAAAAAACAACAAAAAUCAAAACUUGUCUACAAGCUAAAAAAUUAAAACAGGUUUAAAA
Long non-coding RNA from Pseudomyrmex gracilis, 679 nucleotides. RefSeq lists it as uncharacterized. The transcript is spliced from 3 exons. Lineage: Eukaryota; Metazoa; Arthropoda; Insecta; Hymenoptera; Formicidae. The record is from RefSeq and is a predicted model, not a curated record.